RNAcentral lists this non-coding RNA (221 nucleotides) under Acetobacter syzygii. Lineage: Bacteria; Pseudomonadati; Pseudomonadota; Alphaproteobacteria; Acetobacterales; Acetobacteraceae. The record is from RNAcentral.
GCACCCAUCACAGCAAACGGUCCCGCGCAAGCGGAAUAAAAGGGAAUGCCGUAUUCUCCCCUGAGGAGAUCAGUCGGCAACUGCCCCCGCAACUGUAGGCGGAGAGUGUUUGGUCCGAGUGGCUUAGUCAGCCGCUGCCACUGGUUGCCCUGCAACCGGGAAGGUUGGACCAGAUGCGUUGAUCCGCAAGUCAGGAGACCUGCCGUUUUUGCUUGUACCUU